UGGUACUUUUCGAUUAAUGCGCGCUCGACCAACGCGAUGAUCUUGAAAUGCUAUUUCCGAUUCACGUACCCCAUUUGGGGUACGCAUUCGUACGCGGUUUCAAGAGUCAGGUGAUUGGAAACCGUGCAAUCGAUGGUCAGAACGCCGCGGCCAGAUCCUUGGCGCCCUGAAGGUUGACCUGGUUGUCCAUCCGCGCAUCCGUCGCCGCCAGCAGCUUGGCGACGGUGUU
Molecule: unclassified non-coding RNA, 229 nt
Filed under: Hevea brasiliensis (rubber tree)
Lineage: Eukaryota; Viridiplantae; Streptophyta; Magnoliopsida; Malpighiales; Euphorbiaceae
Source: RNAcentral